RNAcentral lists this ribosomal RNA (488 nucleotides) under uncultured bacterium. RNAcentral describes it as "partial 16S ribosomal RNA". It matches the Rfam family "Bacterial small subunit ribosomal RNA", at positions 28 to 507 of the family's 1533-position model. The record is from RNAcentral.
GACGAACGCUGGCGGCGUGCUUAACACAUGCAAGUCGAACGGAAAGGCCCUGCUUUUGUGGUGUGCUCGAUUGGCGAACGGGGGAGUAACACGUGUGUAACCUGCCCUUGACUUUGGGAGAACUUCAGGAAACUGGGGCUAAUAUCGGAUAGGAGCUCCUGCUGCAUGGUGGGGGGUGGAAAGUUUCGGCGGUUGGGGAUGGACUCGCGGCGUAUCAGCUUGUUGGUGGGGUUGUGGCUUACCAAGCCUAGCACGGGUACCCGGCGUGAUAGGGUGAUCGGCGACACUGGAAGUGAGACACGGUCCAUGGGCCUACGGUAGGCAGCAGUAGCGAAGGGGCGGCAAUGGGCGCAAGCCUGACGCAGUGGGACGGAGUGAGUGAUGAAGGCGUUGGGUUCGGAAAGCCGUCUUAUGGGGUGAGAACAGCUUUCGCAUUAGACGAAGCGUUAGUGACGGUACCGAAUAAAGAAGCACCGGCUAACUACGUG